AUUGAACGCUGGCGGCAGGCCUAACACAUGCAAGUCGAACGAGUGGCGGACGGGUGAGUAAUGUCUGGGAAACUGCCCGAUGGAGGGGGAUAACUACUGGAAACGGUAGCUAAUACCGCAUACCAUCGGAUGUGCCCAGAUGGGAUUAGCUAGUAGGUGGGGUAACCGCUCACCUAGGCGACGAUCCCUAGCUGGGCUGAGAGGAUGACCAGCCACCCGUGGACUGAGACACGGGCCAGAAUCCUAAGGGAGGCAGCAGUGGGGAAUGUUGAACAAUGGGCGCAAGCCGGAUGCAGCCAUGCCGCGUGUAUGAAGAAGGCCUUCGGGUUGUAAAGUACUUUCGGCGAGGAGGCGUUACUCGCAGAAGAAGCACCGGCUAACUCCGUGCCAGCAGCCGCGGUAAUUC
Molecule: ribosomal RNA, 406 nt
Filed under: uncultured bacterium
Lineage: Bacteria
Description: partial 16S ribosomal RNA
Rfam family: Bacterial small subunit ribosomal RNA
Source: RNAcentral